This 544-nucleotide ribosomal RNA is filed under the name uncultured bacterium. RNAcentral's name for it is "bacterial SSU rRNA". It matches the Rfam family "Bacterial small subunit ribosomal RNA", at positions 358 to 917 of the family's 1533-position model. The record is from RNAcentral.
GGAAUCUUGCGCAAUGGGCGAAAGCCUGACGCAGCAACGCCGCGUGCGGGAAGAAGGCUUUCGGGCUGUAAACCGCUUUCAGCAGGAACGAAAAUGACGGUACCUGCAGAAGAAGGAGCGGCCAACUAUGUGCCAGCAGCCGCGGUGAUACAUAGGCUUCAAGCGUUGUCCGGAUUUAUUGGGCGUAAAGAGUUCGUAGGCGGUCGAGUAAGUCGGGUGUGAAAAUUCUGGGCUCAACCCAGAGACGCCACCCGAUACUGCUUAACUUGAGUUCGAUAGGGGAGUGGGGAAUUCCUAGUGUAGCGGUGAAAUGCGCAGAUAUUAGGAGGAACACCGGUGGCGAAGGCGCCACUCUGGAUCGACACUGACGCUGAGGAACGAAAGCAUGGGUAGCAAACAGGAUUAGAUACCCUGGUAGUCCAUGCGGUAAACGGUGGGCACUAGGUGUGGGUUUCUAUUAACGAAAUCCGCGCCGUCGCUAACGCAUUAAGUGCCCCGCCUGGGGAGUACGGUCGCAAGACUAAAACUCAAAUGAAUUGACGGA